AGCUCUAAUAGCGUAUAUUAAUGUUGUUGCAGUUAAAAAGCUCGUAGUUGGAUUUUGGAGUUUGACAGGCGGUCUGCCCAAUGGGUGUGUACUGACUGUUGACUCUUCUUUUCUGGGAACCACACUGUUCUUUAUUGAGGGGUGUUGGAACGCAGAUUUUUACUUUGAAAAAAUUAGAGUGUUCAAAGCAGGCCAACGCAUUGAAUACAUUAGCAUGGAAUAAUGGAAUAGGACUUUGGUCUUAUUUUGUUGGUUUCUAAGGCCGAGGUAAUGAUUAAUAGGGAUAGUUGGGGGCGUUUAUAUUCCGUUGUCAGAGGUGAAAUUCUUGGAUUUACGGAAGAUAAACUACUGCGAAAGCAUUCGCCAAGGAUGUUUUCA
RNAcentral lists this ribosomal RNA (378 nucleotides) under uncultured eukaryote. Its description in RNAcentral is "SSU rRNA". It matches the Rfam family "Eukaryotic small subunit ribosomal RNA", at positions 587 to 972 of the family's 1831-position model. The record is from RNAcentral.